Long non-coding RNA from Macrobrachium nipponense, 501 nucleotides. RefSeq lists it as uncharacterized. Lineage: Eukaryota; Metazoa; Arthropoda; Malacostraca; Decapoda; Palaemonidae. The record is from RefSeq and is a predicted model, not a curated record. The transcript is spliced from 3 exons.
GCAGCCCACAACAGUGCAACCCCCGAUCAACUUCGCCACCACCCACUACUGAAGGAAACGAGCAACCCGGUGAAGAUUGUCACGUCAUUCAAGAAAAUGUCCAAGCCUCUAACCGCCAUGAUGAAUCAUCCUCACCACCCUCCGAUCCAGAUCCCUUCGCUGAAGACUUCCCAUUAGAUGAAGAUUUGAUGGGGAGUAAUAAUAAUAAUGAAGCAUCGCGCAUUGGUGGAGGUGUAGGAACCAGAAGGGGAUCUUCACUCACGAGGGAAAGAACGGAGGGUAAUAAGGUAGUGAGUACCAUUCAUUAUGCGGCCGCAGUAGGGUCACACAUUGACGUGGCAAUGAAGUUAAGUAGUAGCAUAACCCGAUUACGCGAAGAUGUGCACAGUAACUUCCUCGAAAGAGGUAUUCGAUCGGCUAUGCUAUACUUGUGCGUUAUUAUCACCAGCGUGAGGAUGCUAGGCGACAUGAAUGAAAAAAAGUGCUUUCUAUGUAUGUACU